Molecule: transfer RNA, 60 nt
Filed under: Dipodomys ordii (Ord's kangaroo rat)
Lineage: Eukaryota; Metazoa; Chordata; Mammalia; Rodentia; Heteromyidae
Rfam family: tRNA
About the family: Transfer RNA (tRNA) molecules are approximately 80 nucleotides in length. Their secondary structure includes four short double-helical elements and three loops (D, anti-codon, and T loops). Further hydrogen bonds mediate the characteristic L-shaped molecular structure. tRNAs have two regions of fundamental functional importance: the anti-codon, which is responsible for specific mRNA codon recognition, and the 3' end, to which the tRNAs corresponding amino acid is attached (by aminoacyl-tRNA synthetases). tRNAs cope with the degeneracy of the genetic code in two manners: having more than one tRNA (with a specific anti-codon) for a particular amino acid; and 'wobble' base-pairing, i.e. permitting non-standard base-pairing at the 3rd anti-codon position.
Source: Rfam by way of RNAcentral
GUGACUCAGUGGUAGAGUGCUUGCCUUGCAUGCAUGAGACCCUAGGUUCAAUUCCUCAGC